RNAcentral lists this ribosomal RNA (273 nucleotides) under Aegista inrinensis. RNAcentral describes it as "partial 16S ribosomal RNA". Lineage: Eukaryota; Metazoa; Mollusca; Gastropoda; Stylommatophora; Camaenidae. The record is from RNAcentral.
UUAAAUUAUUUAGUAAGUGAAAAUCCUUACUUUAAAAUAAUAGACGAGAAGACCCUUGAAAUUUUUAUGAGUAUUAAUAUAAAAAUUUUUGCUGGGGCGGCAGAAUAACAGUUAACUUAUUAUCUUUUAUUUGACUUUUUUUUGGUGGGAAAAUAAAUUACUCUAGGGAUAACAGCAUAAUAUUUAAAAGUUUGUGACCUCGAUGUUGGACUAGGAAAUUUAAGCUUAGAAGGCUGAUUUUAUUGUACUGUUCGUACAGAAACUCCUACAUGA